UAAUACGUAGGGUGCAAGCGUUGUCCGGAAUUAUUGGGCGUAAAGAGCUCGUAGGCGGUUUGUCGCGUCUGCUGUGAAAACCCGAGGCUCAACCUCGGGCUUGCAGUGGGUACGGGCAGACUAGAGUGCGGUAGGGGAGAUUGGAAUUCCUGGUGUAGCGGUGGAAUGCGCAGAUAUCAGGAGGAACACCGAUGGCGAAGGCAGAUCUCUGGGCCGUAACUGACGCUGAGGAGCGAAAGCAUGGGGAGCAAACAGGCUUAGAUACCCUGGUAGUCCAUGCCGUAAACGUUGGGAACUAGAUGUGGGGACCAUUCCACGGUCUCCGUGUCGUAGCUAACGCAUUAAGUUCCCCGCCUGGGGAGUACGGCCGCAAGGCUAAAACUCAAAGGAAUUGACGGGGGCCCGCACAAGCGGCGGAGCAUGCGGAUUAAUUCGAUGCAACGCGAAGAACCUUACCAAGGCUUGACAUAUACCGGAAACGUCCAGAGAUGGUCGCCCCGCAAGGUCGGUAUACAGGUGGUGCAUGGUUGUCGUCAGCUCGUGUCGUGAGAUGUUGGGUUAAGUCCCGCAACGAGCGCAACCCUCGUCCUAUGUUGCCAGCACGUAAUGGUGGGAACUCAUGGGAUACUGCCGGGGUCAACUCGGAGGAAGGUGGGGAUGAGGUCAAAUCAUCAUGCCCCUUAUGUCUUGGGCUUCACGCAUGCUACAAUGGCCGGUACAAUGGGCUGCGAUACCGUAAGGUGGAGCGAAUCCCAAAAAGCCGGUCUCAGUUCGGAUUGAGGUCUGCAACUCGACCUCAUGAAGUCGGAGUCGCUAGUAAUCGCAGAUCAGCAACGCUGCGGUGAAUACGUUCCCGGGCCUUGUACACACCGCCCGUCAAGUCAUGAAAGUCGGUAACACCCGAAGCC
RNAcentral lists this ribosomal RNA (908 nucleotides) under Agrococcus sp. RCML-24. RNAcentral's name for it is "bacterial SSU rRNA". It matches the Rfam family "Bacterial small subunit ribosomal RNA", at positions 521 to 1428 of the family's 1533-position model. Lineage: Bacteria; Bacillati; Actinomycetota; Actinomycetes; Micrococcales; Microbacteriaceae. The record is from RNAcentral.